Molecule: ribosomal RNA, 198 nt
Filed under: uncultured bacterium
Lineage: Bacteria
Description: partial 16S ribosomal RNA
Rfam family: Bacterial small subunit ribosomal RNA
Source: RNAcentral
ACGCUCGACACCUACGGCAGGCAGCAGUGGGGAAUAUUGCACAAUGGGGGAAACCCUGAUGCAGCGACGCCGCGUGAGCGAAGAAGUAUUUCGGUAUGUAAAGCUCUAUCAGCAGGGAAGAUCAUGACGGUACCUGACUAAGAAGCUCCGGCUAAAUACGUGCCAACAGCCGCGGUAAUCUGAGCGGGCUGGCAAGGC